RNAcentral lists this non-coding RNA (22 nucleotides) under Arabidopsis thaliana (thale cress). Lineage: Eukaryota; Viridiplantae; Streptophyta; Magnoliopsida; Brassicales; Brassicaceae. The record is from RNAcentral.
UAAACUUUGGAUGUACACGAUA